Molecule: ribosomal RNA, 460 nt
Filed under: Cordilura latifrons
Lineage: Eukaryota; Metazoa; Arthropoda; Insecta; Diptera; Scathophagidae
Description: partial 16S ribosomal RNA
Rfam family: Bacterial large subunit ribosomal RNA
Source: RNAcentral
UUUAAAUGGCCGCAGUAUACUAACUGUGCAAAGGUAGCAUAAUCAUUAGUCUUUUAAUUGAAGGCUGGUAUGAAUGGUUGGACGAGAUAUUGACUGUUUCAUAAAAAUUUACAUUAGAAUUUUAUUUUUUAGUUAAAAAGCUAAAAUUUAUUUAAAAGACGAGAAGACCCUAUAAAUCUUUAUAUUUAAUUUAUUAUAAUUGAAUAGAUUAUUUUUAUUAUAAUAAUAAGUAAUAUUUUAUUGGGGUGAUAUUAAAAUUUAAUAAACUUUUAAUUGUUUAAAUCAUUAAUUUAUGAUUAAUUGAUCCGUUAUUAACGAUUAAAAAAAUAAGUUACUUUAGGGAUAACAGCGUAAUUUUUUUGGAGAGUUCUUAUUGAUAAAAAAGAUUGCGACCUCGAUGUUGGAUUAAGAUAUAAUUUUAGGUGUAGCCGCUUAAAUUUUAAGUCUGUUCGACUUUUAA